RNAcentral lists this transfer RNA (76 nucleotides) under Francisella tularensis subsp. holarctica. Its description in RNAcentral is "tRNA-Ala". It matches the Rfam family "tRNA". Rfam says of the family: Transfer RNA (tRNA) molecules are approximately 80 nucleotides in length. Lineage: Bacteria; Pseudomonadati; Pseudomonadota; Gammaproteobacteria; Thiotrichales; Francisellaceae. The record is from RNAcentral.
GGGGCCAUAGCUCAGCUGGGAGAGCACCUGCUUGGCACGCAGGGGGUCAGCGGUUCGAUCCCGCUUGGCUCCACCA